RNAcentral lists this ribosomal RNA (440 nucleotides) under uncultured bacterium. RNAcentral's name for it is "partial 16S ribosomal RNA". It matches the Rfam family "Bacterial small subunit ribosomal RNA", at positions 338 to 795 of the family's 1533-position model. The record is from RNAcentral.
CCUACGGGAGGCAGCAGUGGGGAAUAUUGCACAAUGGGCGAAACCCUGAUGCAGCGACGCCGCGUGAGUGAAGAAGUAAUUCGGUAUGUAAAGCUCUAUUAGCAGGGAAGAAAAUGACGGUACCUGAGUAAGAAGCCCCGGCUAAUUACGUGCCAGCAGCCGCGGUAAUACGUAGGGGGCAAGCGUUAUCCGGAUUUACUGGGUGUAAAGGGAGCGUAGACGGCUGUGCAAGUCUGGGGUGAAAGGCGGGGGCUCAACCUCCGGACUGCUCUUGAAACUGUACGGCUGGAGUGCAGGAGAGGUAAGUGGAAUGCCUGGUGUAGCGGUGAAAUGCGUAGAUAUUAGGAGGAACACCAGUGGCGAAGGCAGCUUACUGGACUGUAACUGACGUUGAGGCUCGAAAGCGUGGGGAGCAAACAGGAUUAGAUACCCUUGUAGUC